Molecule: ribosomal RNA, 165 nt
Filed under: uncultured eukaryote
Lineage: Eukaryota
Description: partial 18S ribosomal RNA
Source: RNAcentral
RGCGGGAAAGGGUAAUUUGCGCGCCUGAGGUAUUCCKUGGAUGUGGGACCCGUUUCUCAGGCUCCCUCUCCGGAAUCGAACCCUGAUUCCCCGUUACCCGUAAGAACCUCGRUAGGCGAAUACCGUAACGACGAAAGUGAUAGGGCAGACACUUGAAUGAUCCGU